This 254-nucleotide ribosomal RNA is filed under the name uncultured bacterium. Its description in RNAcentral is "partial 16S ribosomal RNA". It matches the Rfam family "Bacterial small subunit ribosomal RNA", at positions 524 to 776 of the family's 1533-position model. The record is from RNAcentral.
CACGUAGGGGGCAAGCGUUGUCCGGAUUUAUUGGGCGUAAAGAGCUCGUAGGCGGUUCGGUAAGUCGGGUGUGAAACCUCCAGGCUCAACCUGGAGUCGCCACUCGAUACUGCUGUGACUAGAGUCCGGUAGGGGAGCGUGGAAUUCCUGGUGUAGCGGUGAAAUGCGCAGAUAUCAGGAGGAACACCGGUGGCGAAGGCGGGUCUCUGGGCCGAUACUGACGCUGAGGAGCGAAAGCGUGGGGAGCGAACAGG